UACGGAGGGGGCUAGCGUUGUUCGGAAUUACUGGGCGCAAAGCGCACGUAGGCGGCUUUGUAAGUUAGAGGUGAAAGCCCGGGGCUCAACUCCGGAAUUGCCUUUAAGACUGCAUCGCUAGAAUUGUGGAGAGGUAAGUGGAAUUCCGAGUGUAGAGGUGAAAUUCGUAGAUAUUCGGAAGAACACCAGUGGCGAAGGCGACUUACUGGACACAUAUUGACGCUGAGGUGCGAAAGCGUGGGGAGCAAACAGG
RNAcentral lists this ribosomal RNA (253 nucleotides) under uncultured bacterium. RNAcentral describes it as "partial 16S ribosomal RNA". It matches the Rfam family "Bacterial small subunit ribosomal RNA", at positions 524 to 776 of the family's 1533-position model. The record is from RNAcentral.